Molecule: long non-coding RNA, 354 nt
Organism: Oncorhynchus nerka (sockeye salmon)
Lineage: Eukaryota; Metazoa; Chordata; Actinopteri; Salmoniformes; Salmonidae
Exons: 3
Source: RefSeq, a predicted model, not a curated record
UUGCUUCAGGAUACAAAAUGACAGCAGUCGUCUUUAGUCCUAGCAAGAAUGUCAUGAAUGUGGAUGAGGUCCAAAGAAAGGGUUAUGCAAUAGCCAACACUCUCACACGGCUGGUGUUAAGAAGCCCUCAUAAUGCAGAGGAGACAUACCUCCAGAAUGUAGCUGGGGUUCCGAUGCGGGUGCUCUCAACCUCAACCUUCUUUGAGCAGAAGUGGCUGGUUACUCGAGUAGAUGCCACGGCUGUUUGUCCAACACCAGAGGCAGUGACCUUUACUCCAGAAGUGAUCACCUGGUACAUGCCCAAGCACAGACCCACUUUUGUCCUCUGAUGCCUUCACCAUGUUGGAGGUGUAC